UGUUGCUGUGAUGCAAUGAAGGUGCAGAGAAAAGGAGGAGAAACAGACGAGUCUGCAAGCUCAGGACCAGCAACAGCCUCCAGUACCUCCAUAAGAAGAGGACAGAGCUGAAAGGUCCCUCAGGAUGCACACAGAAGGGCCAGAGUUUUUCACCCUUGAUGCCAUUUCCUCCAGACGACAGGGCUCAGCGACAGUGCAGGCUUUGGACGUUCCAUGACACUGUCACAGAACUAUACCAACUGCUAGAGCAGGAGCUGAGGCCUGAAGGAGUGGAAGUGGUAGCCAUCCUAUCCUGCUGACAGCUACACUGAACUUCCAUGUGACUGCCUCCUUCCAAGGCACCCUGUGUGGGAUCUCUCAAUCGUCCAUCCAUGAAUGCAUAGAGUGAACAAUGUCAUUUCUGCCAGAUUAAGCUGCUUCCUCUCAUUUCCCUGUGACGAGGUCAGUGCUGCAGCCUGAAGCAAUGGGAUUUGGUAACGUCGCUGCAUCCCCCAGGCGAUGGCUGUGAUAGACUGUACCACAUGCUGCACUGAGAGGGCCGUUUCAUAACACAACAAAAAGGUGCCAUUGCAUCAAUGUACCAGCAACAUGCUGGUGGAGCAGAUGAUAGGCAUAGCAGUUUGUGCUCUGCUCAGCUGGAGAAAGCAGAGUGCGGAUUUAAUGGACACUGACGAACCAGGCCAGUAUGAACAGGCUUCCAAGUAGGAAACUGAGGCUGUUCACCAGGAGGAACAUCACGGCUCCUGAUACAUACAACACAGCAAUAUCGGGUGCUACAAGCCUGUCAGGACUUCAACAACAACCAGUUCCUGUGGAGGACAGCUGGGUGCAGGGAUUACUCAUUGACUGUAAAAUUGUUGUGCUUGACAAACAUGCAAGCAGUUUUUGUUCCAAGAGGCAAAUGUAACUCCUGUUUGUUUGAUUUUUGUUUAUUUUGGUAACCGUUCAUGAAAGUGAAUGUUUUGAAGCAACUGAAGAUGUCCGUGUGUUAUGGACCCACAUUGAACAAUAGGAGACAACUCAGAUGGUGGGGAUGUACAGAAAGAGCACCAGUGUACAGAAGAGUGGAAGGACCUGUGAUGAUCUGCUGUGACAUGCCAGCCAUUUUGAUGACUCAGAUGCCUCUUCAUGUACUGCACAUUCUACAAUUCUUCAAGAUUCUGCUCAUCCAUUACCAUUACCUUCAUUUGGGGUCCAGGCAUCCAGAGUCUGCAGUAUUUUACUUUUGAUUCAUCUGCCGAUGUUAAGGGGCCUGGGUAACUCUCCAGCUUGCAGAGUGGCUUCGGAAUUUCCAACAGCAUGGGACAAGGCAGAAACAGUCAAAAGUACACUUGCGUUCAGCUGUCCUGUGCAAAUGACAAACUAAUCAUACAAGUUUACCAGGAUAACCAUCCAAACAAAUCAGGGGCCUUCUUUUAUAUUGUGAGGUUGACAGGACUGCAUUUAUUUCCUGACAAAUAGUUCUGGAAGGUGGUAGAGAAAGUAUCUGUUCUGUACUACUGGGGGUCUCUGGUAACAAGGUCUCUCAGUACGCUUAAAGUAGGAAAUUAGUCCAACAUUCCACUACGAGAUAUUUCAGUGCUAACAAUAAUAGUCAACAUUUACGAAAGACAUCAAAGAGUGGACAUCUGUCACUACAUCAAAUUAUUUCCAAUAAACGAUUCCUGAGAAUUUGGGAACACGGGUUAAUUACACUGUUACAAAACCCUAACAAUGCAUCAAUUUGCUUCAGUCCUAUUACUUCUAUUUUGGUGUACAGUACACUACUUACAGCAUGCACUGAAUUAAGCAGUUAACGGAUUCCUGAACAGUGGCUAAGUCAGUGAUUAAGCAGCAGAUUUUACUGAUGAUAAGGCAAACUGCCAUUAUUUUGCAGUUUUUUUUUACCCCAUGAGUUAUCAGUCAGAAAUGGAACAAAAGCAAAACAAAACACUGGAAAUACUCAGCACAUCAGGCAGCGACUAGAUGUAAUAUUCUCCUCAUACGUCAGACCAACAUUAGAUAAACCAGCCCUAAUACGUUCAACUGUCUAUAAAAUGGCCGAGAUUGUCAAAAUGAUUUGGAUUUACUGACAAACAAUGAUACAACUGUAAAAGCUAUCUGGGAGGUAGAAUUUGCAUAAACAUUUCAUUAACUAUUAUAGAAGGAUCUUCAUGGACUUUAUGAAAUAUGAUAUAAUUAGGAAGCGUAUAUAGCCAAACAUAUAAUGUAACCAAAAACUGCAGAUGCUGGAAGUCCGAAACAAAAAAAAAUUGCUGGGAAAACUCAGCAGAUCUGGCAGCAUCUGUGGAGAGAAAACGUAGUUAAUGUUUCAGGUUUAGUGACCAUUCUUCAGAACAGAUCUGAAGAAGGGUCAUUGGACCUGAAACGUUAAUUGUGCUUUCUCUCCACAGAUGCUGCCAGACCUGCUGAGUUUUCCCCAAAUAAGCAGUAUCACUCGAAUGGUGAGUUUAUACGUAUAGCCAAGAGAUGAAGAACCAUGUCAAAAACACAACACAUUAGUCAAAACACUUUAGAAACCAAAAUCAAAACUUCAUGAUCAUGGAUUUUUCUUUUAAAAAAUGGCUGUCACUAGAGUGAUACAGGUAAGGUGGGAAAAAAAAUACUUGAAAUGGACCGAAAAUGUCAAGCUGUAUUUAAACAUCUCUUAUGUAAUUUGAUAAGCAAUUCAACCAAUGACUACCCAACCGAGGGAUACUGCCAGAAUCCAAACGCAGGCUCAAUAUCAGCUGAAAAAAAACAGCCCCAAGUUGACUUGCAUUUUAACACCAACAUCAAGGAGCCAGGAAUGUGUCAAUAAAGACUCUUUUCAAAAUCAGUCACCAAAGGAUUUGGGAUAAUCAUCCAAAUAAUACUCUGCGAAUUGUGGAAAAUAGACACAUAUUACUCAGGCUUUUCCCCUUGCAUUCAUUAGGACAAAUGGCAAGUUUCAAACAAUCCCAACAAAUUAUACUGCAGGAGAGAAAGGUUUACUGAUCGGUUGGCAUGUCAACCGUGAUUGGCCGAGGAUUUUCUAUAAAGAAUAAAACAGGGAAAUACAAGCUCCUCACAUUUCCAUGUAAUUCCAAAUAGGUGCAGUGCUUGAACAUAUUCCUUUUAAUAAUAGAAAGAUCAGACACUAGGAUUAAUAUGUGUUGCUUCUAGCAAGUAUAAAUAAGUGAGACAAUGGGCCCAACUGAUUAUUUUAAAUUGAAUGCCAAUGUAACGAUUAGCACACUCAGGGUUAUUCAUUAAGUACAGCCAAAUCACAGAAGAACAUCUAACAGGAGACAUUUCAACAUCUAUUUUUCUCCUGUUGUAUAAAUCAUUGUGACUAUUUGAGAUUUGACAUUAUUGAAUUUGUACUGAUGGAGCUUACUGAUUUCUACUCCAGCAACAUGUCUCCCUUUUCAACAAUUACCUUGUACAAGCAUUUUUUUGGUUGGUUACAAUACAAGCACCUCCUUGCUGAAGAAAGAUUCCUUGCCUGGAUCUGCACCUCUUCCCCCACUCUCUUGAAGUUGCUAAUUCUUUCUGGUAUACAGACAGACAAUGGCUGCCUUCUUAGACAUCACCCAAAGUGGCAAUUCUUCACAUUUGAGUUUAAACUCAACUAUCUUUGGUUGAUCACUUGACAGCACAAGUCUGCAUCAGGCGGCCUAAUUUGUCUAGCUGACACAUAGCACUGAAGUUCUCUAAUGGAGAUUAUUGCAGGAUGUUGCAGUCACAUUUCAUCAGGGGCCAAUGAAUGACAGCCAUCUUCUUCACCAGUGCUGAGGUACGGAUGAUCAUUUCCUUGCCUAUCAUGCUCACAGACUGAAAAUUUGGCCUGGGACUUGUUGAGCUACUGGCAACUACACCCAGUAAUGCGUUUAUCCAUUAUACCUUUGAGGGAGCUGGGAAAGUUAGAAUUGACAAUCUUUUUCAAUAGAUAUUAUAACUGAAUGGAAAUCCCUAGAGUACUUACUUUCUGUUUUAUACCCUUUAUCCCAACAGUGCAUUUCCAGUUUGUUUUGAUAAAUCAGUUGUUUUCUGAUUAAUUAGGCCAAACCUAUCAGUGACAAUAAUUUAUUUAAUAACUUCAAUGAAAAAUACAGAUCAGCUAUAAAGGAUACUUUUACAUAGUAACAUCAAGAAGUUGAUGGUCAACUAUGUCAUGAGGAAUCAUUGUUGCAAAUCUUAUGAUGUACAAAACUGGGAGGAGAGAUGUUAAUACAAAGAUGGGUUUACAUGGAGUUGUACAUCAUCCAAAAUUGAAUUCAGAAUUUCUCCAACAGUCCAGGCACGAUGACCAUCAGAAGACUUCAAUGGUAUCUGUCAGCUGGACAAAUUAGGCCACCUGAUGCAGACUUGUGCUGUCAAGAGAUCAACCAAAUCUGGUUCUGUUCAGCCAGUUGUCUCCUUGCCGAUUUGCAGGCAUUUAUAAAGUCAUAUAAUUAGGUAAUGCAGCAAUAGGGUUAGCAGAGGUUCCACACAAUACUCAAAACGUUCACAGUUUUCUGAGUGAAUGAGUUCUGUAAUAAAGAUAACCUGUGUAGAUAUGAACUUAUGACUAAUGAAUAUACAAUUCUGAAUAUGGGAUUUGAGGGUUAAGUUAAUAAAAAUUAGUAUCUUGCACACCUCUUUUGUUUUAAAUGAUCAUAUUUCAUGAAAUGGUGACAAAUGUUGACAAUCAUAAAUAUAUUGACAUCCUAUCUCGACUAUUUCUCAAAUCGUGAUAACCUGGACUAUACAUGGUUGAAUGUUUUGGAUAGUGAACUACAUGGUAGAAUAAUUUGUAAGAAAACUUACCAGAAUUGGAAGCUGUACUGGUUAAGAAGUGUUCCUUGCCAAUCACUGCUUCACUUUUCUUCACCGGCAAUCAGUUCUUCCCAACACUUCACUCAAACACUUGUGAAGAUUUUCCAUUUUUCAUAAACCUUUAUUAAAUGCUCACU
This is a long non-coding RNA of Rhincodon typus (whale shark), 4916 nucleotides long. RefSeq lists it as uncharacterized. The record is from RefSeq and is a predicted model, not a curated record. Lineage: Eukaryota; Metazoa; Chordata; Chondrichthyes; Orectolobiformes; Rhincodontidae. The transcript has 3 exons.